RNAcentral lists this ribosomal RNA (431 nucleotides) under uncultured bacterium. RNAcentral's name for it is "partial 16S ribosomal RNA". It matches the Rfam family "Bacterial small subunit ribosomal RNA", at positions 338 to 795 of the family's 1533-position model. The record is from RNAcentral.
CCUACGGGUGGCAGCAGUCGAGAAUUUUUCACAAUGGGGGAAACCCUGAUGGAGCGACGCCGCGUGGAGGAUGAAGGUUUUCGGAUUGUAAACUCCUGUCACUACAGAACUGGUAUGUGGAGAGGAAGGGACGGCUAACUCUGUGCCAGCAGCCGCGGUAAUACAGAGGUCCCGAGCGUUGUUCGGAUUCAUUGGGCGUAAAGGGUGUGUAGGAGGUUAGGUAAGUCAGGCGUGAAAUCUCACCGCUUAACGGUGAAACUGCGUUUGAUACUGCUUGACUAGAGGAUCGGAGGGGGAAGCGGAAUUCUUGGUGUAGCAGUGAAAUGCGUAGAUAUCAAGAGGAACACCGGUGGCGUAGGCGGCUUCCUGGAGUUCCUGACUCUGAAACACGAAAGCUAGGGGAGCAAACGGGAUUAGAUACCCUUGUAGUC